GAUGAACGCUGGCGGCGUGCCUAAUACAUGCAAGUCGAGCGAACGGACGAGAAGCUUGCUUCUCUGAUGUUAGCGGCGGACGGGUGAGUAACACGUGGAUAACCUACCUAUAAGACUGGGAUAACUUCGGGAAACCGGAGCUAAUACCGGAUAAUAUUUUGCACCGCAUGGUUCAAAAGUGAAAGACGGUCUUGCUGUCACUUAUAGAUGGAUCCGCGCUGCAUUAGCUAGUUGGUAAGGUAACGGCUUACCAAGGCAACGAUGCAUAGCCGACCUGUGCGAGUGAUCAGCCACACUGUAACUGAAACACGGUCCAGACCCCUACGGGAGGCAGCAGUAGGGAAUCUUCCGCAAUGGGCGAAAGCCUGACGGAACAACGCCGCAUUAGUGAUGAAGGUCUUCGGAUCGUAAAACUCUGUUAUUAGGGAAGAACAUAUGUGUAAGUAACUGUGCACAUCUUGACGGUACCUAAUCAGAAAGCCACGGCUAACUACGUG
This 497-nucleotide ribosomal RNA is filed under the name uncultured bacterium. RNAcentral describes it as "partial 16S ribosomal RNA". It matches the Rfam family "Bacterial small subunit ribosomal RNA", at positions 28 to 507 of the family's 1533-position model. The record is from RNAcentral.